RNAcentral lists this ribosomal RNA (396 nucleotides) under Dictyochales sp. RNAcentral's name for it is "partial small subunit ribosomal RNA". It matches the Rfam family "Eukaryotic small subunit ribosomal RNA", at positions 582 to 975 of the family's 1831-position model. Lineage: Eukaryota; Dictyochophyceae; Dictyochales. The record is from RNAcentral.
AUUCCAGCUCCAAUAGCGUAUAUUAAUGUUGUUGCAGUUAAAAAGCUCGUAGUUGGAUUUCUGAUGGGAUCGACCCGGUCGGCUCCGAAAGGGGUCGCACUGGUGGUCUGUCCGGUCAUCCUCGAGGGGAGGCUUUCUGGCAUUCAUUUGUUGGGGAGUCGACGCUCGUCGUUUACUGUGAACAAAUUAGAGUGUUCAAAGCAGGCUUAGGCCGUUGAAUACAUUAGCAUGGAAUAAUGAGAUAGGACUUUGGUGGUCUAUUUUGUUGGUUUGCACGCCGAAGUAAUGAUUAAUAGGGGCGGUUGGGGGUAUUCGUAUUCAAUUGUCAGAGGUGAAAUUCUUGGAUUUAUGGAAGACGAACUACUGCGAAAGCAUUUACCAAGGAUGUUUUCAUUA